UACGUAGGGUGCGAGCGUUGUCCGGAAUUAUUGGGCGUAAAGAGCUUGUAGGCGGUCUGUCGCGUCUGCUGUGAAAAUCCGGGGCUCAACCCCGGACUUGCAGUGGGUACGGGCAGACUAGAGUGUGGUAGGGGAGACUGGAAUUCCAGGUGUAGCGGUGAAAUGCGUAGAUAUCUGGAGGAACACCGGUGGCGAAGGCGGCAUCCUGGACCAAUAUUGACGCUGAGGAGCGAAAGCCAGGGGAGCAAACGGG
This 253-nucleotide ribosomal RNA is filed under the name uncultured bacterium. Its description in RNAcentral is "partial 16S ribosomal RNA". It matches the Rfam family "Bacterial small subunit ribosomal RNA", at positions 524 to 776 of the family's 1533-position model. The record is from RNAcentral.